RNAcentral lists this ribosomal RNA (450 nucleotides) under uncultured bacterium. RNAcentral describes it as "bacterial SSU rRNA". It matches the Rfam family "Bacterial small subunit ribosomal RNA", at positions 354 to 796 of the family's 1533-position model. The record is from RNAcentral.
GUGGGGAAUAUUGGACAAUGGGCGCAAGCCUGAUCCAGCAAUGCCGCGUGUGUGAAGAAGGCCUUCGGGUUGUAAAGCACUUUUAUCGGGAACGAAAUACCACGGGUUAAUAACCUAUGGGGCUGACGGUACCCGAGGAAUAAGCACCGGCUAACUUCGUGCCAGCAGCCGCGGUAAUACGAAGGGUGCAAGCGUUAAUCGGAAUUACUGGGCGUAAAGGGUGCGUAGGCGGUUGUUUAAGUCUGUUGUGAAAUCCCCGGGCUCAACCUGGGAAUGGCAAUGGAUACUGGACGGCUAGAGUGUGUCAGAGGAUGGUGGAAUUUCCGGUGUAGCGGUGAAAUGCGUAGAGAUCGGAAGGAACAUCAGUGGCGAAGGCGGCCAUCUGGGACAACACUGACGCUGAAGCACGAAAGCGUGGGGAGCAAACAGGAUUAGAAACCCUUGUAGUCC